AUGCCAGCGCCAGCGGCCGUGCCCGUGCACACCCCUCCACCCACCGUGGCGCCGGUCGCCGUGCAUUUGGCUGCGCCCGCCGCGCCCGUGCGCGCCCCUCCACCCACAACAGUGUCGGUCCUCGUGUGUUUGGCUGCACCCGCCGCACCUGUGCCCGUGCCCAUGCGCGCGCCCCCUCAGCGGCAUGGGACGCCACCGUCGACCACUGCCGGACGUGUAGUCAGACUAGUUGUCGCCAAACACAUCACACUGGCUUUUACUAUGAAUGUUGAUGCUGCGUUAUCUCGCAAUGGUGAAAGGGGAGCCCUGGCAGUUGUGAGCCGAGAUCAUACAGGCUUCUUCCUUGGAGCAUCGGCACUGGUGUGCGGAAGUGUUACUGAUCCAGAGAUCCUAGAGGCAAUGGCAUGUUGCGAGGGGCUAUCUCUGGCUCUUGACUUAAACCCGCAACAAGUUCAGAUUAGCACCGAUUGUUCAGCAACAGUCAAGCAUAUCGGAGAGGCAUACUUGGGGCCCAGCAAAGUUAUUAUGGACGAGAUCAAGAUGAAGAAGAAUAUGUUCCAAACCAUGGAGAUCAUACAUGAAAAACGUGAGUGUAAUGUUGAAGCGCAUGUGCUCGCAAAAGCUGCUACUUCUUUGCCCUGCAGAUGCCAUCUUUGGCUCACAGGAACCCCCAAAAUUAUUUGUAUACCUAUGACUGUUAAUCUUCAAUAA
RNAcentral lists this ribosomal RNA (711 nucleotides) under Triticum aestivum (bread wheat). RNAcentral describes it as "partial small subunit ribosomal RNA". The record is from RNAcentral. Lineage: Eukaryota; Viridiplantae; Streptophyta; Magnoliopsida; Poales; Poaceae.